Molecule: long non-coding RNA, 235 nt
Organism: Saccostrea cuccullata (small rock oyster)
Lineage: Eukaryota; Metazoa; Mollusca; Bivalvia; Ostreida; Ostreidae
Exons: 3
Source: RefSeq, a predicted model, not a curated record
CUGGUUGGUUUUGAUAUUUUGUACCACUAAAAAUUCAUACAUGUUUUCUGAAGACUCUUCAAUUUGUUAUGAUUCAAAAGGAAAUCCUUCCUGUUGUCAAGAUUAUAAGAAUAUUUCUGGAGAGUGUAUAGAAUUGCUCCAAUCCAUGUAUGUACGGGUACUAUGGACAUGGAUGCCGUGAGCGUUGUAAUUGUUACCAAAAUCAGACGUGUGACAGAAAAAGAGGUUGUAUUGC